RNAcentral lists this ribosomal RNA (103 nucleotides) under Adenocalymma hatschbachii. RNAcentral describes it as "4.5S ribosomal RNA". The record is from RNAcentral. Lineage: Eukaryota; Viridiplantae; Streptophyta; Magnoliopsida; Lamiales; Bignoniaceae.
GAAGGUCACGACAAGACGAGUCGUUUAUCAUUACGAUAGAUGUCAAGUGGAAGUGUAGUGAUGUAUGCAGCUGAGGCAUCUUAACAGACCGGUAGACUUGAAC